Molecule: ribosomal RNA, 773 nt
Filed under: uncultured Neocallimastigales
Lineage: Eukaryota; Fungi; Neocallimastigomycota; Neocallimastigomycetes; Neocallimastigales
Description: partial large subunit ribosomal RNA
Rfam family: Eukaryotic large subunit ribosomal RNA
Source: RNAcentral
UAUCUCUGUAGAGUCUGCAUAUCAAUAAGCGGAGGAAAAGAAACUAACAAGGAUUCCCUAGUAACGGCGAGUGAAGCGGGAAGAGCUCAAAUUUGAAAUCUUCAAGGUUUACCUUGACGAAUUGUAGUUUAAAGAAGUGUUUUCUGUUAGAUGAGUAGUAAAAGUUCCUUGGAAUAGGACAUCAUAGAGGGCGAGAAUCCCGUAUUUGACUAUUCAUUUCUAGCUUUGUGAUACACUUUCAAAGAGUCGGAUUGUUUGGGAAUGCAGUCCAAGAUGGGUGGUAAAUUUCAUCUAAAGCUAAAUAUUGGCGAGAGACCGAUAGCGAACAAGUACCGUGAGGGAAAGAUGAAAAGAACUUUGAAAAGAGAGUUAAACAGUACGUGAAAUUGUCAAAAGGGAAGCGUUUGACACCAGUGUUGUUUUUCCGAAAAUCAAUUAAAAAUUGAUUCAUGCCAGGUUGUAUUGACCUUAUCAGCUUGCAAUUUGGUUUUGGGUCUCUUUUUGAUGCACUUUUCGGUUAACAAGUCAACAUCAAUUUCCUUUGCUGUAAAAAGGUAAGAGGAAGGUGGCUUCAAUUUCGGUUGAAGUGUUUAUAGCCUUUUAUCUCUGCAGUCGGGGAGAUUGAGAUCUGCAGCGUAGAUCCUUCGGGGCUAGAUACAUUUAUGCUAAGUUAUAGCUUUUCAUAGACAACUUGUUGACUAUGUUUAGUCAUGUAGCUUACUCGUAAGUGCUAUUUUACCUACGCUUAGGAUGUUGAAGACUCUACAGAGAUA